This is a long non-coding RNA of Mastomys coucha (southern multimammate mouse), 2535 nucleotides long. RefSeq lists it as uncharacterized. The record is from RefSeq and is a predicted model, not a curated record. Lineage: Eukaryota; Metazoa; Chordata; Mammalia; Rodentia; Muridae. The transcript is spliced from 3 exons.
GAGCCAACAGAAGUGUGGACCGCUGUUUACUCAGAAGGAAGCCUCUGGUGUGACAAAUUAGAGUGGGCUGCUGCAUUGUGCAGGACUCAUGAGCCAAACGGCUUGGAAAUAGCACAUACCGCCGCGGCAGGUGAAUCAUUUCUUGUUCUGUCUUCUCAGGCAGGGCAUCAGAUCCCAGGGCAGGCAGACCCAGAGCCUGUCAGGGUCAUGCUCGGUGCCUAAGGACCGUGGACAUCCUUUGUUUCCUGGGACGAUGCGGUUGACUUUGACGGUUCCGUGGGAACGUACUUUCAGCCUAAUUAACCUUGUCGAGCCAAGUGCUCCCCCCACACGGAGUGAAACUUGUAAAGUUCAAAGGUCACAAGUGAAUUUUCAGAUCAGCAGAAGGUCCCAUCAUCUUUUUCUUAGAAUAUUAAAAAAAGAAAAGAAAAGAAAGAAAAGCAAACAGAUUGAAAUCUAUCAGGUACAAGGAAGCAACGGACUUUAUACUGCAGGGGCAUGAUGGGUAAUGAAGUAAUGAUUCAGACGUUGAGCCUAGCUUAACUUCAGAGACGUCCAAACUUACUCUGUAGGCCAGAGGUGGCAAAGCCGGUCAGUAUAAAGAAUAGGAUUUGAAGCCUGUCCCUGGCUUUGACUGGAUCUAAAUCUUUCCUAGUUAUUGCUUCUGCACUCACCAAUAGAAACCAGUCCCCCACAGAGGCUGUGGAGCUCCCAGCAUAGGCAUGAAGCAUCGCCGCUGUGUCCUGCACUGUAGGUACCCAACAAAUGAUGGCUGAUUCUAUGACGACUGAGAACCCAGCGACGUGGUUGGGAAAGACACUCUGCAUGGGCCCACUAGGGACAUCUGAAGCUGCACUUUGAGGUGUUGGGAACUUUCCCACCUCUGCGCUGUUCCUUGGUUCUCAGCCCUGUGAGGAGGAACAGCCUUCUGUCUGCAGAGGAGAAAACUGAUGGAAUGGAGCUUAGGAACACACAGAGGCUGCUUCCUGCCGACUGUCAGUGCUGCAUGCCUUCCUACCUCUAAGUUGUGUGUCUGCGCAUGGAGCUCAGAAGUUCAUUCAUUGGUUGCCCAAGGAACACCGGGAGCUUCGCAUCAUGAAGAUUUCUCCAUUGCCUCUUGAUGAAGGUAUUCCCCAACCUCCCCUUCUUCGUUUGGGGAAUGAAGACCAUAGCAAGAUCCAUCCCACAGGCUGGCCAAAGAGUGCGGGAGAGCGAGGAUGCUUGUGCAUUUCAUCCGCAGGAAUUUACUCCGAUGCAGAAGCGGGUUUUCUAGGAAUAAAGGUCACGGAAGAGCUUGGAGGGGUGAGGUGGUGCGGACUCCACCUGCCGUCUGGGAUCCCACCGGAUCCUGAGAGUGCUAUUUAAAAACUCGGUUCGGAAAUACUUACUUAGCACUUCUGCGACUCCACUCCCUGUCCUGCCCACCAGGUCAUUCUGGCUGUUGCUACAGUGAGUGGGUGUGUUUUAUUCGCUCACCUCAUGACUCCCUCCGAGUUAGAGAAGUUGGAAACACUGACUACGGUUCUGUCUGCUGCUACUUUCAUGUCACCUCCUCUGUGCUCAGGAAGGUGUGUCUCCUGUGAGGAAGCUGUCACAUCUGCACGUGAGUCUUCAGCGAGCCUGAGCCUCCUCAUCCUUUGAAGUCAGGGCUCAUGACUUGGCAUUCAGACAAUCAGAAGAGGCUGCGUUUGGAAUAUGCUGUCGCCAAUGGUGCGGGGUCAAGGCUACUGUGGCCACCAAAGCACACACUGACCCAGGACCACCCCAAGCCUCUGGAAUUGAGUCUGUUCCUCUUGAUGUGGCUCUAAUUCUUUCCCAUUUCCAUGUGACAGUAUUCUUGUAUAAGUUUUUCAAAGGCUCUUGGAAGUUUUUCAGAGGCUCUGGGCAGCGGGGGUUAAUGGCAUUGCUUGUUGCUGACUAACAUUUAUUUAUGAGGGACAGCUUUGCGUUUACAAGAACCUCAAGAGCCCCAUAUCUCUGUGAUUGCAGGCAGACCUCAGAUGACCUCGAGGUGUAAGUCCGGCUUCGUAGGAGACAAUAGUCUGAACUGGGAGGAAGAGAAUAAAAAUAAGACCAAGGGGGAAUGGAAAGACAGACACAAAGGGGGCUCAUCUGAUACUACCACAUUCAAGCUCACGUUUUAAAGGUCUCAGUUGAGAAUUCUACUUUGGGUCUAUCAAGCCACCCUCACCUCUCCUGUGGUUAGAAAGAAAACCAAACCAAACAAAUAAAACAAACAAGAAAGACCAAAAAAGAAAGAAAGAAAACCCCCCAAACCAAGAAUCCAUUCAGAAAAAUUCAGUGUCCUACACGUUUGUAGAGCAGACUUCUAAAUGCUCCGUCUCCACUCUGAUCCCUGACGUCUCUCACAUCUUUGAAUCAGAGCUUUAUACCCAGGGUCCCGCUAUGACUGCUCUUCAAGUUCACCAGCUGCUUCAUCGCUGCCAUUUUGUGAAUCUCCGCCUCGCUGGUCCCCACACAGAAGCAAUGCUAGGGACAAGCCUCUUUGUACUGAACCCCCCCCCCCCCCCCCCC